RNAcentral lists this transfer RNA (67 nucleotides) under Leptalpheus forceps. RNAcentral's name for it is "tRNA-His". Lineage: Eukaryota; Metazoa; Arthropoda; Malacostraca; Decapoda; Alpheidae. The record is from RNAcentral.
GUUUAAGUAGUUUAUUGAUAAAAUGUUGGUUUGUGKGACCUGAGAAGUAAGUUUGUUACCUUGAACA